This 641-nucleotide long non-coding RNA is filed under the name Monodelphis domestica (gray short-tailed opossum). RNAcentral's name for it is "lncRNA (ENSMODG00000045359.1)". Lineage: Eukaryota; Metazoa; Chordata; Mammalia; Didelphimorphia; Didelphidae. The record is from RNAcentral.
CCAGAGAAGGCAAUAUUCAGUCAGCUAUGGGCUGUCACUGUUCCACAGCAUUGGCUGAUCCUGGCUCUCCCUGUGAAACAUAAAAGGAUUUCCCUUGAAGAGGAUAGAUAGUGAGGAUGUCACUGCUUACUGAAGGCCUUUUCACAAGGGUCCACAAAAGCAAAACAAGUAGAUUUGUUAGUCAUGCUCUGUUCCUGGCCACACAGUCAGCCCUGGGUUACUAAAUUAUAUUGGAAAAAGAUGCUCCUGUAGAAGAGCAGGCAGAAGGAAGAAGAAGCUGUUGGCCAUAUCCCUCAGGAAAGCCCAAAACGGAAGCGCACGCCAGCGCCGGGGAAAGACAGGAUCUGGCUGCAGCGGCUCCAUCCAGCAUACAAAGGUGACAAUGGAACCGCCUCACAGCCAUGCAGUCAUCCUGUGUUCAGGAGCAGCAUUUGCAACAGGACCGCCGUAGAAGUAAUGAGAGCUCAGGAGCCAGAGUCAGUUGGAGGAGAGAAGCAGUUCGAUGAAGAAAGGGAUCGGGGCCUCCAAAUCGAACUGGAGAAUGCUUUGAUGAUCAGUAACUUCAAUGCCAAUGUUAGGUAUACAGGAAGAGAGUGAAAAAGUGCACUGGGACAAAUGCUUUAGGAAUAAACAAAGGCUGC